GAUGAACGCUGGCGGCGUGCUUAACACAUGCAAGUCGAACGGACCGCUUUUCGGAGUGGUUAGUGGCGGACGGGUGCGUAACACGUAGGUGACCUACCCUGGAGUGGGGAAUAACUCCGCUAACGCGGAGCUAAUACCGCAUGAGAUUGAUCGUUCAUUCGGUCAAUGAAAGCCGUAAGGUGCUCCAGGAUGGGCCUGCGGCCGAUUAGCUAGUUGGUGGGGUAAAGGCCUACCAAGGCGAUGAUCGGUAGGGGGCGUGAGAGCGUGGCCCCCCACAUUGGCACUGAGACACGGGCCAAACUCCUACGGGAGGCAGCAGUGAGGAAUAUUGCACAAUGGGCGAAAGCCUGAUGCAGCAACGCCGCGUGAGGGACGAAGGCCUUCGGGUCGUAAACCUCUUUUCUGAGGGACGAGACAAGGACGGUACCUCAGGAAUAAGUCUCGGCUAACUACGUGCCAGCAGCCGCGGUAAAACGUAGGAGGCGAGCGUUAUCCGGAUUUACUGGGCGUAAAGCGCGCGCAGGCGGCUUGGUAAGUUGGAUGUGAAAGCUCCUGGCUUAACUGGGAGAGGUCAUUCAAAACUGCCAGGCUUGAGGUUGGGAGAGGGGUGCGGAAUUCCCGGUGUAGUGGUGGAAUGCGUAGAUAUCGGGAGGAACACCAGUGGCGAAGGCGGCACCCUGGCCCACACCUGACGCUGAGGUGCGAAAGCGUGGGGAGUAAACAGGAUUAGAUACCCUGGUAAUCCACGCCGUAAACGAUGUCAACUAGGUGUCGGUGGUGUUACACUAUCGGUGCCGAAGCAAACGCGUUAAGUUGACCGCCUGGGGACUACGGCCGCAAGGCUA
This 845-nucleotide ribosomal RNA is filed under the name uncultured bacterium. Its description in RNAcentral is "bacterial SSU rRNA". It matches the Rfam family "Bacterial small subunit ribosomal RNA", at positions 28 to 896 of the family's 1533-position model. The record is from RNAcentral.